UCUUCCCUCUUUCUUCGUGCCUAAUACAUGCAAGUCGAGCGAACAGACGAGGAGCUUGCUCCGCUGACGUUAGCUGCGGACGGGUGAGUAACACGUGGGUAACCUACCUAUAAGACUGGGAUAACUUCGGGAAACCGGAGCUAAUACCGGAUAAUAUAUUAAACCGCAUGGUUUAAUAGUGAAAGACGGAUUUGCUGUCACUUAUAGAUGGAUCCCCGCCGAAUUAGCUAGUUGGUAAGGUAACGCCUUACCAAGGCAACGAUGAGUAGCCGACCUGAGAGGGUGAUCGGCAAACCGGGAACUGAGCAACGGUCCAGACUCCUACGGGAGGAAGAAGUAGGGAACUUUCCGAAAUGGGCGAAAGCUUGCCGGAGAACCGCGGCGUGAGGGAUGAAGUUCUUCGGAUCGAAAAACUCUGUUAUUAGGGAAGACCAAUUGUGUAAGUAAAUAUGCACGCCUUGACGGUACCUAAUCAGAAAGCCACGGCUAACUACGUG
Molecule: ribosomal RNA, 497 nt
Filed under: uncultured bacterium
Lineage: Bacteria
Description: partial 16S ribosomal RNA
Rfam family: Bacterial small subunit ribosomal RNA
Source: RNAcentral